AGUAGGGAAAUGGGUUACUAGGAUGAAUGGAUGCUUUUUAGUGUUUUAUCUGUUCUUUUUCUUGCUCAGGGCUGGUAGGCUGGAUCUGAAAAGUUAAAGGCAAAUGUUUCAAUAGGGUUUGAUCUCUUUGAGUCAAAUCAGUUCUCAAGCAUAAAGGAGGAAAUGAUGUACAUGGACUGAGGCAAUAAGCGAGUAUGGUAGCAUCUAAGAAAGAAGCUAAAGGAUGGAAAGACAGAGAGACAUGGGUGCCAUGUUGUGACCCAUUGGAAGUUACAGCUAACAUGACUUCCAUGAAAGAAACUCUG
RNAcentral lists this long non-coding RNA (305 nucleotides) under Androctonus crassicauda. The record is from RNAcentral. Lineage: Eukaryota; Metazoa; Arthropoda; Arachnida; Scorpiones; Buthidae.